UCCUGCGCAGGCCGCGUUCGAUGCGGUCGGCGAGGCCCUGGGCCUCGUUGCCCAGGCCCGCCUGGGCGGCGGCCGUGGUGGCGCCCGCGCGCAGGGC
This 97-nucleotide transfer RNA is filed under the name Streptomyces anandii JCM 4720. RNAcentral's name for it is "tRNA-Gln". The record is from RNAcentral. Lineage: Bacteria; Bacillati; Actinomycetota; Actinomycetes; Kitasatosporales; Streptomycetaceae.